GGAGAGGGCAGCUCCGGGCCGCAGUUGGCUCCAGCAGCUCUGCUCUGUUGCAAGCGCCCAGCGCCCCGGGGCUGGCUUAGACCCGGAGACCAAAGCAACAAGAGCGAGAGGCAAAGCCCCAGCAGGGAGCCUGGCGGGCUCUGCCCGCGGCAGCCUUGCAGGGGCGUUGUUAGCACUGGCCUGUUUGCUUCACCGGCAGCACCGCGCUGGGCUGGGACCGGGACCGAGACCCCCGCGCUGGCGGAGUGUCGGGGGAGCGGGACGCUGCAGGACAGAGCCGCGGCGCGCCGGUUUCACCCCGGAAACCCCCCUCGGGGCCCCCUGACCCCCGCUCGAGCUGCUGAAAACGGGCCCCCCCCGGCCACGGCCCUUGCUGCUGCUGUUUUCUUGGGGAGACGUUUCUUCUUGGCUCUGGUUAGCUGGGAACCUUUCCUGUCUGGCAAAGAUGUCACACGUGAUGUUUUGGAUACCUUCGGAGCCUUUGUCUUCUCUUCUGCUGGAUCCAGUUUAGUCUUGGAUCCUUUGGCCUGCCUCUUCUUGUCAGACACAGUUGNCCAGACACCGUUGGCUUCACUGCUGACAGUUUGGUGGAGCUUUUUGGGGAAGCUGGCUUCUUGGCUUUUUUGGAAGAAGUUGUUGGGGUGGCUCCUGUGGAGAUGGAGGAUGUGUUGGGUGGCUUUGUUGUUGUGGGCUCAUUAAGCAGUUCAAGGACAGUCUCUGUGAAAAAUAAUUAAAAUGCUUCAGCAUUCCUGGUUGAAGGCAAAAGACUAACUCAGACAUAUCCCUGAGAAAGAGCCUAAGCAGGCAGACAAGAAACAUAUUUGCCUUUCAAAAGAGAUUAAAAAAUGUGAUGCUUGAACACUGCCUCACUUUUCUCAUUUUGAAUCCGCUUCUUCCAUUAAAUAUGAACCCUGGCUGCUUCUUGUAGGGUUGCUAAGAAUAAGUUUGUUUUCUCUUAGAAUAAAAU
This 967-nucleotide long non-coding RNA is filed under the name Gopherus agassizii (Agassiz's desert tortoise). RNAcentral's name for it is "lncRNA (ENSGAGG00000003079.1)". Lineage: Eukaryota; Metazoa; Chordata; Testudines; Testudinidae. The record is from RNAcentral.